UAACUUGAACUCUAAGUCUGACUAUAUGGAGGAUCUCGCUAAUAGGGGCUAAUAUAUUGGCAAUUGAUUUAUCUUGGAAAUUUAUAUCUCAAGCAGAUAUGCAACAUGUCACCAAUAGAUUCGCGAUUCCUAAGGACUUUGUUGUCAGAUGAUAUGCAGCAUACUGUAAGAUAACACAUAACCUACUGCAAGAUGAUACGUAAUUCCUAAGGACUUGUUGUAAGA
This 225-nucleotide long non-coding RNA is filed under the name Elaeis guineensis (African oil palm). Its description in RNAcentral is "long non-coding RNA (EGUI_LNC082912)". The record is from RNAcentral. Lineage: Eukaryota; Viridiplantae; Streptophyta; Magnoliopsida; Arecales; Arecaceae.